GUCGCACACGGUCGCCAGACGGACCGUGUAAGCAGAUCUUUGAAUCUAAUUCCUGCAGCAGUUAGCUCGCUCCAAGGCCAUCGUGGUCAAUUUUACAAAGGACCAGAGUGGGAAGUGACUCGUAAAGGCGCACAUGACCGUGCCAGCCCAAGCCGUCUCUCCUGGCGCCCUCUCUCAACUUCGUCGCAAGUUCCCUAAGGAACCCUGGUAAUAAAAGCUGAAUUUUAGGGACUGGACAGGCCCUGCCCAGGGGAGUCUGCAGUACUCUGGAGGGCCACGCUGCUUGGGCACCCACAGGGCCCAGGUCUUACGGCACCUUCCAUGCGUGGCUACCACCCAGGCACCUGCUCAGGUCUCCCUGACUCUGAAGGCAACCCGCCUGUCUGGGUCCAGGAUUCCGUUUCCAUCACACCUUAUGUCCCUUGUGCUCCACUACCCGCAAACCCCAAACUUCUCUGUGCUGUGGAUUAGGGCUCCUCAAGGGCAAGGGGAGGGAAUUGGGAGAACUGAGUUCUAGCACCUAUGAGCCUGGGACUCGAAAUCCCUGUGGCCUAGCAAUCCCUGUCACUGCAUGUAGAGUCACAGAAGCCAUUGGCUUAGAACUGAGGGAACAGGGAGCUUCCCCUGCCCUUCCACAGGUUCAACAAUUGAGCCUUUGAAAUAAACAGGCAACAGACAAAUCAACAGAAGA
RNAcentral lists this long non-coding RNA (691 nucleotides) under Ictidomys tridecemlineatus (thirteen-lined ground squirrel). RNAcentral's name for it is "lncRNA (ENSSTOG00000034381.1)". Lineage: Eukaryota; Metazoa; Chordata; Mammalia; Rodentia; Sciuridae. The record is from RNAcentral.